The sequence is a ribosomal RNA, 3147 nucleotides long. It matches the Rfam family "Bacterial large subunit ribosomal RNA".
ACAGUGGACGCGAGCAUCUGUGGCCAAGUUUUUAAGGGCGCACGGUGGAUGCCUUGGCACCAGGAACCGAUGAAGGACGUGGGAGGCCACGAUAGGCCCCGGGGAGCUGUCAACCAAGCUUUGAUCCGGGGGUGUCCGAAUGGGGAAACCCGGCAGUCGUCAUGGGCUGUCACCCGCUGCUGAACACAUAGGCAGUGUGGAGGGAACGCGGGGAAGUGAAACAUCUCAGUACCCGCAGGAAGAGAAAACAACCGUGAUUCCGGGAGUAGUGGCGAGCGAAACUGGAUGAGGCCAAACCGUAUGUGUGUGAUACCCGGCAGGGGUUGCGCAUGCGGGGUUGUGGGAUCUCUCUUUUGCAGUCUGCCGGCUGUGAGACGAGUCAGAAACCGUUGAUGUAGGCGAAGGACAUGCGAAAGGUCCGGCGUAGAGGGUAAGACCCCCGUAGCUGAAACAUUAACGGCUCGUUUGAGAGACACCCAAGUAGCACGGGGCCCGAGAAAUCCCGUGUGAAUCUGGCGGGACCACCCGUUAAGCCUAAAUAUUCCCUGGUGACCGAUAGCGGAUAGUACCGUGAGGGAAUGGUGAAAAGUACCGCGGGAGCGGAGUGAAAUAGUACCUGAAACCGUGUGCCUACAAGCCGUGGGAGCGUCGCUGUCGUCUUUGGACGGCAGUCGUGACUGCGUGCCUUUUGAAGAAUGAGCCUGCGAGUUUGCGGUAUGUUGCGAGGUUAACCCGUGUGGGGGAGCCGUAGCGAAAGCGAGUCCGAAUAGGGCGUUCAGUAGCAUGCUCAAGACCCGAAGCGGAGUGAUCUAGCCAUGGGCAGGUUGAAGCGGAGGUAAGACUUCGUGGAGGACCGAACCCACCAGGGUUGAAAACCUGGGGGAUGACCUGUGGUUAGGGGUGAAAGGCCAAUCAAACUCCGUGAUAGCUGGUUCUCCCCGAAAUGCAUUUAGGUGCAGCGUCGUGUGUUUCUUGCCGGAGGUAGAGCACUGGAUAGGCGAUGGGCCCUACCGGGUUACUGACCUUAGCCAAACUCCGAAUGCCGGUAAGUGAGAGCGCGGCAGUGAGACUGUGGGGGAUAAGCUCCAUGGUCGAGAGGGAAACAGCCCAGAGCAUCGACUAAGGCCCCUAAGCGUGUGCUAAGUGGGAAAGGAUGUGGAGUCGCAGAGACAACCAGGAGGUUGGCUUAGAAGCAGCCAUCCUUGAAAGAGUGCGUAAUAGCUCACUGGUCAAGUGAUUCCGCGCCGACAAUGUAGCGGGGCUCAAGCACACCGCCGAAGUCAUGUCAUUGCCAUGGGAGCCCUAACGGGUGUGGUGAUGGGUAGGGGAGCGUCGUGUGCCGGGUGAAGCAGCCGUGGAAACGAGUUGUGGACGGUUCACGAGUGAGAAUGCAGGCAUGAGUAGCGAUACACACGUGGGAAACGUGUGCGCCGAUUGACUAAGGGUUCCUGGGUCAAGCUGAUCUGCCCAGGGUAAGUCGGGACCUAAGGCGAGGCCGACAGGCGUAGUCGAUGGACAACCGGUUGAUAUUCCGGUACCCGUUGUGAAGCGUCAAACAUCGAGCCCUCUGAUGCUAAGGCCGUGAAGCCGCCCUGAUCUCUUCGGAGUUGAGGGGAGUGGUGGAGCCGCUGAUCCAAGGUGGUAGUAGGUGAGUGAUGGGGUGACGCAGGAAGGUAGUCCAGCCCGGGCGGUGGUUGUCCCGGGGUAAGGGUGUAGCCCGUGUGGUAGGCAAAUCCGUCACACGUUAAGGGUGAGACCUGAUGCCGAGCCGAUUGUGGCGAAGUGGAUGAUCCUAUGCUGUCGAGAAAAGCCUCUAGCGAGUUUCAUGGCGGCCCGUACCCUAAACCGACUCAGGUGGUCAGGUAGAGAAUACCGAGGCGUUCGGGUGAACUAUGGUUAAGGAACUCGGCAAAAUGCCCCCGUAACUUCGGGAGAAGGGGGGCCAUUGCUGGUGAUCCGAUUUACUCGGUGAGCUGGUGGUGGCCGCAGAGACCAGCGAGAAGCGACUGUUUACUAAAAACACAGGUCCGUGCGAAGCCGUAAGGCGAUGUAUACGGACUGACGCCUGCCCGGUGCUGGAACGUUAAGGGGACCGGUUAGUCAUGAUUCGUCAUGGCGAAGCUGAGAACUUAAGCGCCAGUAAACGGCGGUGGUAACUAUAACCAUCCUAAGGUAGCGAAAUUCCUUGUCGGGUAAGUUCCGACCUGCACGAAUGGCGUAACGACUUCUCGACUGUCUCAACCAUAGGCCCGGUGAAAUUGCACUACGAGUAAAGAUGCUCGUUUCGCGCAGCAGGACGGAAAGACCCCGGGACCUUUACUAUAGCUUGAUAUUGGUGUUCGGUUCGGCUUGUGUAGGAUAGGUGGGAGACUGUGAAGCGAUCACGCCAGUGGUUGUGGAGUCGUUGUUGAAAUACCACUCUGGUCGUGCUGGAUGUCUAACCUGGGUCCGUGAUCCGGAUCAGGGACAGUGUCUGGUGGGUAGUUUAACUGGGGCGGUUGCCUCCUAAAGAGUAACGGAGGCGCCCAAAGGUUCCCUCAGCCUGGUUGGCAAUCAGGUGUUGAGUGUAAGUGCACAAGGGAGCUUGACUGUGAGACUGACGGGUCGAGCAGGUACGAAAGUAGGGACUAGUGAUCCGGCGGUGGCUUGUGGAAGCGCCGUCGCUCAACGGAUAAAAGGUACCCCGGGGAUAACAGGCUGAUCUUCCCCAAGAGUCCAUAUCGACGGGAUGGUUUGGCACCUCGAUGUCGGCUCGUCGCAUCCUGGGGCUGGAGUCGGUCCCAAGGGUUGGGCUGUUCGCCCAUUAAAGCGGUACGCGAGCUGGGUUUAGAACGUCGUGAGACAGUUCGGUCCCUAUCCGCUGUGCGCGUAGGAGUAUUGAGAAGGGCUGUCCCUAGUACGAGAGGACCGGGACGGACGAACCUCUGGUGUGCCAGUUGUCCUGCCAAGGGCAUGGCUGGUUGGCUACGUUCGGAAAGGAUAACCGCUGAAAGCAUCUAAGCGGGAAGCCUGCUUCGAGAUGAGUACUCCCACCUCCUUGAGAGGUUAAGGCUCCCAGUAGACGACUGGGUUGAUAGGCCAGAUAUGGAAGCCGGGCAACCGGUGGAGUUGACUGGUACUAAUAGGCCGAGGGCUUGUCCUCAGUUG